RNAcentral lists this ribosomal RNA (498 nucleotides) under uncultured bacterium. RNAcentral's name for it is "partial 16S ribosomal RNA". It matches the Rfam family "Bacterial small subunit ribosomal RNA", at positions 30 to 523 of the family's 1533-position model. The record is from RNAcentral.
AUUGAACGCUGGCGGCAUGCCUUACACAUGCAAGUCGAACGGUAACAGGUCUUCGGAUGCAGACGAGUGGCGAACGGGUGAGAAAUACAUCGGAACGUGCCUAGUAGUGGGGGAUAACUACUCGAAAGAGUGGCUAAUACCGCAUGAGAUCUACGGAUGAAAGCAGGGGAUCGCAAGACCUUGUGCUACUAGAGCGGCCGAUGGCAGAUUAGGUAGUUGGUGGGAUAAAAGCUUACCAAGCCGACGAUCUGUAGCUGGUCUGAGAGGACGAUCGGCCACACUGGGACUGGGACACGGCCCAAACUCCUACGGGAGACAGCAGUGGGGAAUUUUGGACAAUGGGCGCAAGCCUGAUCCAGCAAUGCCGCGUGCAGGAUGAGGGCCUUCGGGUUGUAAACUGCUUUUGUACGGAACGAAAAGCCCCGGGUUAAUACCCUGGGGUCAUGACGGUACCGUAGGAAUAAGCACCGGCUAACUACGUGCCAGCAGCCGCCGUAA